This 2011-nucleotide long non-coding RNA is filed under the name Nicotiana tabacum (common tobacco). Its description in RNAcentral is "long non-coding RNA (NTAB_LNC007145)". The record is from RNAcentral. Lineage: Eukaryota; Viridiplantae; Streptophyta; Magnoliopsida; Solanales; Solanaceae.
GAUGGCAACGAGAAAGGAUUUAGAAAACUAGGAAAAGUGGUUGGCCAACAAAGUGACAAGUGGGGGACAAUGAAAUUAAUUAAAUAACAAGGAUAAGAAAAUAAUGGAAGUAAUUAUGAAAGACAAAAGCAAGUGGGAAAUAGAAUGAUUAAAGUUGAAGACCAAAAUGUUGCUUCUGUGAUGGAAUAAAUUAGAAUUCAGUGAAGGCGUGCAACUCAACACCCAAAAUUUAGAAUCCACAGUUGAAGUUUUUGUAGGCAUUUUGUAAAGAGAGAGAUUAUUUGACUUGGUCUUGGGGAUUAGAGAGAAGGAGCAGCUAUUUACCAUUAAUACAUCUUCAAGGUAAGAAUUAAAUGCCUUUCUUUGAUAAAUUUGAUUCAUUUAUUACAUCUAUUAACCUUCCAAUAUCGUGGGAUUCAUAGAUUUUUGAAGAUAAUCUCAAGGACAUUUCAAGAAACUCAAAUCUUGAAACUUUUAGGGAUUGACAAAGAGGUAAUUCCUUCACUCCAAUCUUAUGUACUAUACUCCACGAGCAUAGUAGAGUAUAUUUAUAAAGUUAGAUUUGUAUUUAAAUAUCUAUUCAUAAAACUCUAGAAGCUAGUCUUGAAAUUGAAAAGUUGGUUGGUAAGAAUGAUGAAUAGUGAUGGUGUUGUUUGAAUGAUGUUAUUUUGAGUUUAUAGUGGAAUGACUAGAUUUCAUAACAAGUUUAAUGAAUAAGUUGGAGUUAAAAUUCAUGGAUUGUCAUUCAAAUAAUCAAAUGAGGAUUUUUGUUAAACUUACAAGAUUAGAUUUAAGUGUUAGACACUUAGUUGGUUUAGUAGGUAUCGUUGUGAUUCGUUCUUGAAUUAUGUGAGUUCGUAUAUGUAGAUCGUGACUCAUUGGCGUUAUUGGAUCAUUUGUGAUAAGGUUGGAAGCAAUUUAAGGUACGUUGAAACUUACUACCCUCAGAAUUUUUCUCCAAAACUCAUAUCGAAACACGAUUAAACUGAGUUUCAAAAUGCGAGUCCUAGCUUGUGGGAAUGAGUGAGAUGAGACUUUACCAUUCUUGCAUCAUAAAAGAUUUAAGUGAUAUUAAUAUUAUUUUCCUAAAAUGUUGUAUCUUAAUUAAAGAAAAAAACUAAAUAAAUAAGGAAUAGCACUUGUAGUAUUUUGAAAUGAAAAUACAUUAGUUGUAAAAUAUCUUGGAUAUAGUUAUUCUCAAAUAGUUGAUUUGGCUAUAAAUAUCAUCAUUGAUAAAUGUAAAGGUUUUGGGAGUUACUUAAAUUCAUUAAGAUUGACCUUGGACAUUUUUCCUCAUUAGGUCAUAAAACUACACGUGCCGGUGUAGGCGUAGAACCUACCUUAUGGUUGGGGACUACGGCAGAGUACUUCCCAUUAGGGAGUGCUACUUUAUUAGCAUGGCUGAGUCGAUUCGUGCGGCACAACGAUGAGAUGACCUGAGCAAGUAGAGUAUAUGAUACUUGCCGCUAGGUACAUAACCUAGUUGACCUUCUUUCGUGUUGAUGAUGGUAUAAUGCUCCCGGUAAAUAAAAAUUCUAACAUGAUUUUGCAAAGAUCAAUGAUAAAGGAAGACUUUGAAAUAUGUUUUACCAUAUUAUUGUGUUGUACUUUUUAAAUUGUUAAUUGAUAUGAAUACUUCUUUCUUGAUAUCAAUUAUUAUUGCAUAUCUUAUGUCUUCUUGAACAUCGUCCUAUUUUCUUUUUGGGGAAUGAUUCAUGAUUCGUACUAGGCAUGUGUAACUUAGGCCUUUCAGCCAAAUUUAUAUUUUUUAUUUUCAGGGACUAGACCUGAGCAACUUGGACCGUGUGGAUAGGGCAGCUCUACAUUUCCCGUUAACGUUCUUUGGUGAGACUCCACGCUUGUAUUUGUGGAGGACUUUAUUAUAUUAAAUCCUUUUAAGCCACCGGGUUAUGCCUUGGCUGACUAUUCCAUUUCGUGUUAUUGAGAUUCCAUAGACAACAAUAUAUUCAUUUUGGGUUGUAAUCUUAUGGUUACUUACAUGGUGUGCAUG